GUUGAACGCUGGCGGCGUGCCUAAUACAUGCAAGUCGAGCGAACAGAUGAGGAGCUUGCUCCUCUGACGUUAGCGGCGGACGGGUGAGUAACACGUGGAUAACCUACCUAUAAGACUGGGAUAACUUCGGGAAACCGGAGCUAAUACCGGAUAAUAUAUUGAACCGCAUGGUUCAAUAGUGAAAGACGGUUUUGCUGUCACUUAUAGAUGGAUCCGCGCCGCAUUAGCUAGUUGGUAAGGUAACGGCUUACCAAGGCAACGAUGCGUAGCCGACCUGAGAGGGUGAUCGGCCACACGGGAACUGAGACACGGUCCAGACUCCUACGGGAGGCAGCAGUAGGGAAUCUUCCGCAAUGGGCGAAAGCCUGACGGAGCAACGCCGCGGGAGUGAUGAAGGUCUUCGGAUCGUAAAACUCUGUUAUUAGGGAAGAACAAAUGUGUAAGUAACUAUGCACGUCUUGACGGUACCUAGUCAGAAAGCCACGGCUAACUACGUG
RNAcentral lists this ribosomal RNA (497 nucleotides) under uncultured bacterium. Its description in RNAcentral is "partial 16S ribosomal RNA". It matches the Rfam family "Bacterial small subunit ribosomal RNA", at positions 28 to 507 of the family's 1533-position model. The record is from RNAcentral.